RNAcentral lists this ribosomal RNA (292 nucleotides) under uncultured bacterium. RNAcentral describes it as "partial 16S ribosomal RNA". It matches the Rfam family "Bacterial small subunit ribosomal RNA", at positions 505 to 796 of the family's 1533-position model. The record is from RNAcentral.
GUGCCAGCAGCCGCGGUAAGACGAAGGGGGCUAGCGUUGUUCGGAAUUACUGGGCGUAAAGCGCGUGUAGGCGGUUGCCAAAGUCGGGUGUGAAAGCCUUGAGCUCAACUCAAGAAAUGCACUCGAUACUUGGUGACUAGAGUGCCGGAGAGGAUAGUGGAAUUCCCAGUGUAGUGGUGAAAUACGUAGAGAUUGGGAAGAACACCAGUGGCGAAGGCGGCUAUCUGGACGGUUACUGACGCUAAGACGCGAAAGCGUGGGGAGCAAACAGGAUUAGAUACCCUGGUAGUCC